UGUGAACGUUACCAAACUGUUGCCUCGGCGGGAUCUCUGCCCCGGGUGCGUCGCAGCCCCGGACCAAGGCGCCCGCCGGAGGACCAACCAAAACUCUUUUUGUAUACCCCCUCGCGGGUUUUUUUAUAAUCUGAGCCUUCUCGGCGCCUCUCGUAGGCGUUUCGAAAAUGAAUCAAAACUUUCAACAACGGAUCUCUUGGUUCUGGCAUCGAUGAAGAACGCAGCGAAAUGCGAUAAGUAAUGUGAAUUGCAGAAUUCAGUGAAUCAUCGAAUCUUUGAACGCACAUUGCGCCCGCCAGUAUUCUGGCGGGCAUGCCUGUCCGAGCGUCAUUUCAACCCUCGAACCCCUCCGGGGGGUCGGCGUUGGGGAUCGGCCCUCCCUUAGCGGGGGCCGUCUCCGAAAUACAGUGGCGGUCUCGCCGCAGCCUCUCCUGCGCAGUAGUUUGCACACUCGCAUCGGGAGCGCGGCGCGUCCACAGCCGUUAAACACCCAACUUCUGAAAUGUUGACCUCGGAUCAGGUAGGAAUACCCGCUGAACUUAAGCAUAUCAAUAAGC
RNAcentral lists this ribosomal RNA (557 nucleotides) under Fusarium sp. KN9. RNAcentral describes it as "eukaryotic LSU rRNA". The stretch from base 177 to 330 matches the Rfam family "5.8S ribosomal RNA". The record is from RNAcentral. Lineage: Eukaryota; Fungi; Ascomycota; Sordariomycetes; Hypocreales; Nectriaceae.